UACGUAGGAGGCAAGCGUUGUCCGGAAUUAUUGGGCGUAAAGCGCGCUCAGGCGGUUAUGGAAGUCUGAUGUUAAAGCACGGGGCUCAACCUCGGUUCGCAUUGGAAACUGUGUAACUUGAGUGCAGAAGAGGAAAGUGGUAUUCCACGUGUAGCGGUGAAAUGCGUAGAUAUGUGGAGGAACACCAGUGGCGAAGGCGACUUUCUGGUCUGUAACUGACGCUGAGGCGCGAAAGCGUGGGUAGCAAACUGG
RNAcentral lists this ribosomal RNA (252 nucleotides) under uncultured bacterium. Its description in RNAcentral is "partial 16S ribosomal RNA". It matches the Rfam family "Bacterial small subunit ribosomal RNA", at positions 524 to 776 of the family's 1533-position model. The record is from RNAcentral.